AAGCCCCAGUAAACGGCGGCCGUAACUAUAACGGUCCUAAGGUAGCGAAAUUCCUUGUCGGGUAAGUUCCGACCCGCACGAAAGGUGUAACGAUUUGGGCACUGUCUCAACGAGGGACCCGGUGAAAUUGAAAUACCUGUGAAGAUGCAGGUUACCCGCGACUGGACAGAAAGACCCCAUGGAGCUUUACUGUAACCUGACAUUGGGUUUUGAUACAUUACGUACAGGAUAGGUGGGAGGCUUGGAAAGCUGGACGCUAGUCUGGCUGGAGCCGACGUUGGGAUACCACCCUUGAUGUAUUGAAAUUCUAACCGCGAGAGUAACGAAAUCCGGGACAGUGUCAGGCGGGCAGUUUGACUGGGGCGGUCGCCUCCGAAAGAGUAACGGAGGCGCCCAAAGGUUCCCUCAGCGCGGCCGGAAAUCGCGCGAAGAGUGUAAAGGCAGAAGGGAGCUUGACUGCGAGUCAAACACGACGAGCAGGUACGAAAGUAGGGCUUAGUGAUCCGGUGGUACCGAGUGGAAGGGCCAUCGCUCAACGGAUAAAAGCUACCCUGGGGAUAACAGGCUAAUCUCUCCCAAGAGUCCAUAUCGACGGGGAGGUUUGGCACCUCGAUGUCGGCUCAUCACAUCCUGGGGCUGAAGUCGGUCCCAAGGGUUGGGCUGUUCGCCCAUUAAAGUGGUACGUGAGCUGGGUUCAGAACGUCGUGAGACAGUUCGGUCCCUAUCCAUCGCGGGCGCAAGAGAUUUGAAGGGGGCUGCUCCUAGUACGAGAGGACCGGAGUGGACGAACCGCUGGUGUACCAAUUAUCCCGCCAGGGGUACAGUUGGGUAGCUACGUUCGGAAAGGAUAAACGCUGAAAGCAUCUAAGCGUGAAACCAGCCUUAAGAUGAGAUCUCUCAUAGAGCAAUCUAGUAAGACACCUUAAAGAAGAUGAGGUUGAUAGGUCGGGAGUGUAAGUACAGCAAUGUAUUGAGCGGACCGAUACUAAUAUGUCGAGGGCUUGACUUA
Molecule: ribosomal RNA, 1009 nt
Filed under: human gut metagenome
Description: bacterial LSU rRNA
Rfam family: Bacterial large subunit ribosomal RNA
Source: RNAcentral